This 483-nucleotide ribosomal RNA is filed under the name uncultured bacterium. RNAcentral describes it as "partial 16S ribosomal RNA". It matches the Rfam family "Bacterial small subunit ribosomal RNA", at positions 29 to 506 of the family's 1533-position model. The record is from RNAcentral.
AUUGAACGCUGGCGGCAUGCUUUACACAUGCAAGUCGAACGGCAGCGCGGGCUUCGGCCUGGCGGCGAGUGGCGAACGGGUGAGUAAUACAUCGGAACGUGCCCAGUAGUGGGGGAUAGCUCGGCGAAAGCCGGAUUAAUACCGCAUACGACCUGAGGGUGAAAGCGGGGGAUCUUCGGACCUCGCGCUAUUGGAGCGGCCGAUGGCAGAUUAGCUAGUUGGUGGGGUAAAGGCCUACCAAGGCGACGAUCUGUAGCUGGUCUGAGAGGACGACCAGCCACACUGGGACUGAGACACGGCCCAGACUCCUACGGGAGGCAGCAGUGGGGAAUUUUGGACAAUGGGCGAAAGCCUGAUCCAGCAAUGCCGCGUGUGUGAUGAAGGCCUUCGGGUUGUAAAGCACUUUUGGCGGGAACGAAAAGGACUGUGCCAAGACCACGGUUCGAUGACGGUACCCGCAGAAUAAGCACCGGCUAACUACGU